UACAGAGGUCCCAAGCGUUGUUCGGAUUCAUUGGGCGUAAAGGGUGCGUAGGCGGCGCGGUAAGUCGGGUGUGAAAUCUCGGGGCUUAACUCCGAAACUGCAUUCAAUACUGCCGUGCUUGAGGACUGGAGAGGAGACUGGAAUUUACGGUGUAGCGGUGAAAUGCGUAGAUAUCGUAAGGAAGACCAGUGGCGAAGGCGGGUCUCUGGACAGUUCCUGACGCUGAGGCACGAAGGUCAGGGGAGCAAACAGG
RNAcentral lists this ribosomal RNA (253 nucleotides) under uncultured bacterium. RNAcentral's name for it is "partial 16S ribosomal RNA". It matches the Rfam family "Bacterial small subunit ribosomal RNA", at positions 524 to 776 of the family's 1533-position model. The record is from RNAcentral.